CCUACGUGUGGCUGCAGUGGGGAAUAUUGCACAAUGGGGGAAACCCUGAUGCAGCGACGCCGCGUGAGUGAAGAAGUAUCUCGGUACGUAAAGCUCUAUCAGCAGGGAAGAAAAAGACGGUACCUGGCUAAGAAGCACCGGCUCACUACGUGCCAGCAGCGGCGGUAAUAAGUAGGGGGCAAGAGUUAUCCGGAUUUACUGGGUGUAAAGGGAGCGUAGACGGCAGCACAAGUCUGGAGUGAAAUGCCGGGGCUUAACCCCGGUACUGCUUUGGAAACUGUGCGGCUUGAGUGCAGGAGGGGUAAGCGGAAUUCCGAGUGUAGCGGUGAAAUGCGUAGAUAUUAGGAGGAACACCGGUGGCGAAGGCGGCUCACUGGACUGUAACUGACGUUGAGGCUCGAAAGCGUGGGGAGCAAACAGGAUUAGAUACCCCAGUAGUC
RNAcentral lists this ribosomal RNA (440 nucleotides) under uncultured bacterium. RNAcentral describes it as "partial 16S ribosomal RNA". It matches the Rfam family "Bacterial small subunit ribosomal RNA", at positions 338 to 795 of the family's 1533-position model. The record is from RNAcentral.